AUGCAAACAUCUUUGUGAUGUUAUUUUAAAAUUACAAGAUGAAUGACAAAGUUACAUCCAUGACAAGUUCUUCUUUGGCCAAACUUGACUUUUUACAUUUAAAUAUGACCUUACCUUAAAGUAGUGAUACGGAUUUUUUACAGCAAGAACGUAUGAAUAUUUGUUCAGGAGUAUAAGACUUUGGUUGUGUUCACUGUACAGGUGAGGUUUUUCCUGCAUAUCGACAGUCAUACAAUGGUGUGAAAUUGUCUCCUUUAUUAUCAAAAGUUUGUUGAACAAAAUCCUCUCAUUGGUAUCAAGCCUGCACAAA
Molecule: long non-coding RNA, 310 nt
Organism: Dreissena polymorpha
Lineage: Eukaryota; Metazoa; Mollusca; Bivalvia; Myida; Dreissenidae
Exons: 2
Source: RefSeq, a predicted model, not a curated record